UGAAUGUCUGUGUAGCCUGAGAGGUUUUGC
RNAcentral lists this non-coding RNA (30 nucleotides) under Mus musculus (house mouse). Lineage: Eukaryota; Metazoa; Chordata; Mammalia; Rodentia; Muridae. The record is from RNAcentral.